GACGAACGCUGGCGGCGUGCUUAACACAUGCAAGUCGAACGGUGAAGCGAGUGCUUGCUCUCGUGGAUCAGUGGCGAACGGGUGAGUAACACGUGAGUAACCUGCCCAUCACUCUGGGAUAAGCACUGGAAACGGUGUCUAAUACUGGAUACGACCAACCCUUGCAUGGUGUGCUGGUGGAAAGAUUUUUCGGUGAUGGAUGGCCUCGCGGCGUAUCAGCUUGUUGGCGGGGUAAUGGCCCACCAAGGCGCCGACGGGUAGCCGGCCUGAGAGGGUGACCGGCCACACUGGGACUGAGACACGGCCCAGACUCCUACGGGAGGCAGCAGUGGGGAAUAUUGCACAAUGGGCGAAAGCCUGAUGCAGCGACGCCGCGUGAGGGAUGACGGCCUUCGGGUUGUAAACCUCUUUCAGCAGGGAAGGAGCGAAAGUGACGGUACCUGCAGAAGAAGCACCGGCUAACUACGUG
RNAcentral lists this ribosomal RNA (469 nucleotides) under uncultured bacterium. RNAcentral describes it as "partial 16S ribosomal RNA". It matches the Rfam family "Bacterial small subunit ribosomal RNA", at positions 28 to 507 of the family's 1533-position model. The record is from RNAcentral.